Anguilla anguilla (European eel) is the source of this 1636-nucleotide long non-coding RNA. RefSeq lists it as uncharacterized. The transcript is spliced from 2 exons. The record is from RefSeq and is a predicted model, not a curated record. Lineage: Eukaryota; Metazoa; Chordata; Actinopteri; Anguilliformes; Anguillidae.
UGUCUUUGUUGAUCAUUUGGAGUGCAAGAGAAGCAUGCUGACUGAGUUAAUGUUAGCUUGCUAGUAAUACAAAACGAUAAGAGGGCACUGACACGGGAAAAGGCCCCAAAACUAGCAUGUUCAUGUUCGCUACAGUUGUGGCUGGAAAUGGCUUUACUGCAGCCAUUAGUUACCUCUUGCUUGUUAAUUGCAUUUUGAAAAGACAGCGUACCGAAGCGUUCAGUUAAGCUAAUUUGAAUGCCACACGAUAUGAAAAUCAUUGAUUGUUUAGCUAAACAGACAACAGUUAUACAUUUCGUAGCUAUCUUGUUGCAUUGGUACUGCCUUGAUUUCUGAGAUGAAUCUGUCAAUUGGGCAUUCAUGAUUUCCAUUCAGUACUUUAUCACUGUGACUUGUAGGUUGCGCCAAAUUAAUACAGACAAGGGGAUAAUACUCAAAUGUCUAGCUAGCUAAAUACACAGACUACACGCUUGCUCUGUGAUGCAGAUAGAGUGUUAUAACAUUGGGUCAUUCAAGACUAGAAAAUGAAACUAGCUAGGUAGUUAUACGGGCAAUUAACGGUGCUUCCCUACCCUCAUCGGAAAGGAGUGGUUGCAAUGGAAUGAAUGGCGCAGGACAAUGUUGAGCUUUACAGCUGAUGCCGGAACCUGCACCUGUAUCUACAUUCAGAGGACAAUCAUCCACUCAUCUUCCAAUGUACUGCAAAAUUACACAUUAAUGACUGUCUGUGUACUUACUGCACUAUUAAUAAACAUCUCUACUUCUCUUAACUGACUAAUUUCCAGGAGUAUAGAAAUAUUAAUUUGACAGUUUUUGUAAUCACUGUGUGCAGUAAAGUAACCUAUAUGUAAAGGUGAGACCAUCGUGCUUCAUUGAAGACCGUGUAGCAGUGUGCUGAGUAUACAAAGUGUGCUUUUGCCCGGAAAUCUUUUACUUGCUUCUAAUUUCUCAGUUUGGUGAGUGAAAACAGCGGGGGCAUGUAGCUCAUGGUUUUGCAAUGCGACUGCUCUGGGUUCUGGAGCAUAGUGAGCUUAUUGAUUAGGCAGAAUUCAGAGUGAGUUUUGUGGAAUUCCCAGGCUAGUGGAAAUGGGGAAAGUCUGCAGUGAUGUAAUUGAGUUGCAGAAACAAACAGGAACCCCCUACAGUAUGUCACCCAUUCCAUGGACUUUCAUUUUCAACUAGAGUCCCUGCUGGAAAGUCCCAUGAAGAAUACAACAAAAGUACUGAAUAUUCUUUUGUCACGUUUCAUACAGAAAAAAACAGUGUUUUUUGUACAGCUGGAAACCCUCAUUAAAUUGUAAUAUCAAAUGUACAGAGCAGUAUUUAGGCAUAGUUUUUUAUUGUCACUAUGAAUCAGUAAUUGAAUAAGUAACCUUAUAAUAGUAGGCAAUAUUUUAGAAUUUAUGUUGCAAUACAUUCUUAUAUAUGCAGAGUAGUUGAAUCUGGUUUAAGAAGCUGGCAAUUGGCCUACCACUCAGAAAAAUAUGUGUUUGUUACUCAUUUGUUGAACUUUCAAAUCUUUGGCAUGGCUUUCCUUCCUUAUGUUUUUAGUUUGUGAUAUUUGAGUAUCUGCCUCCUUUCGUGUAAACUUACUAUUGUUGAAUGCAGACCGAAAUAAAAAUUUCAUUUCAUUUCA